UGUGUCCCCCUGCAGUAUGCACUUUACAAAAAGAUGACACAAGCGGCCAUCCUCAUCCAGAGCAAAUUCCGAAGUUACUACGAGCAGAAGCGGUUUCAGCAGAGCCGGCGCGCUGCAGUGCUGAUUCAGAACUUCUACCGGAGCUACAAGAAGUGCGGCAGGAGACGGCCAGCCCGCAGGACAGCGGUCAUCGUGCAGCAAAAGCUCAGGAGCAGUUUGCUGACCAAAAAGCAGGACCAAGCUGCUCGAAAAAUAAUGAGGUUUCUG
This 267-nucleotide long non-coding RNA is filed under the name Rattus norvegicus (Norway rat). Its description in RNAcentral is "long non-coding RNA NONRATT023895". Lineage: Eukaryota; Metazoa; Chordata; Mammalia; Rodentia; Muridae. The record is from RNAcentral.